RNAcentral lists this ribosomal RNA (379 nucleotides) under Gammaproteobacteria bacterium RIFCSPLOWO2_02_FULL_52_10. RNAcentral describes it as "bacterial SSU rRNA". It matches the Rfam family "Bacterial small subunit ribosomal RNA", at positions 1 to 370 of the family's 1533-position model. Lineage: Bacteria; Pseudomonadati; Pseudomonadota; Gammaproteobacteria. The record is from RNAcentral.
GAUUAAACUGAAGAGUUUGAUCCUGGCUCAGAUUGAACGCUGGCGGCAUGCCUAACACAUGCAAGUCGAACGGCAGCAUGACGUGUAGCAAUACACGUUGAUGGCGAGUGGCGGACGGGUGAGUAAUACUUAGGAAUCUACCCAGUAGCGGGGGAUAGCUCGGCGAAAGCCGGAUUAAUACCGCAUACGCCCUACGGGGGAAAGCGGGGGACCUUCGGGCCUCGCACUAUUGGAUGAGCCUAAGUCUGAUUAGCUAGUUGGUAGGGUAAUGGCCUACCAAGGCAACGAUCAGUAGCUGGUCUGAGAGGAUGAUCAGCCACACUGGGACUGAGACACGGCCCAGACUCCUACGGGAGGCAGCAGUGGGGAAUAUUGGACA